This 738-nucleotide ribosomal RNA is filed under the name Bacillus sp. (in: firmicutes). Its description in RNAcentral is "bacterial SSU rRNA". It matches the Rfam family "Bacterial small subunit ribosomal RNA", at positions 71 to 794 of the family's 1533-position model. Lineage: Bacteria; Bacillati; Bacillota; Bacilli; Caryophanales; Bacillaceae. The record is from RNAcentral.
GAUGGGAGCUUGCUCCCUGAAGUCAGCGGCGGACGGGUGAGUAACACGUGGGCAACCUGCCUGUAAGACUGGGAUAACUCCGGGAAACCGGGGCUAAUACCGGAUGAUUCUUUCCCUCACAUGAGGGAAAGCUGAAAGAUGGUUUCGGCUAUCACUUACAGAUGGGCCCGCGGCGCAUUAGCUAGUUGGUGAGGUAACGGCUCACCAAGGCGACGAUGCGUAGCCGACCUGAGAGGGUGAUCGGCCACACUGGGACUGAGACACGGCCCAGACUCCUACGGGAGGCAGCAGUAGGGAAUCUUCCGCAAUGGACGAAAGUCUGACGGAGCAACGCCGCGUGAGUGAUGAAGGUUUUCGGAUCGUAAAACUCUGUUGUUAGGGAAGAACAAGUACCGGAGUAACUGCCGGUACCUUGACGGUACCUAACCAGAAAGCCACGGCUAACUACGUGCCAGCAGCCGCGGUAAUACGUAGGUGGCAAGCGUUGUCCGGAAUUAUUGGGCGUAAAGCGCGCGCAGGCGGUUCCUUAAGUCUGAUGUGAAAGCCCCCGGCUCAACCGGGGAGGGUCAUUGGAAACUGGGGAACUUGAGUGCAGAAGAGAAGAGUGGAAUUCCACGUGUAGCGGUGAAAUGCGUAGAGAUGUGGAGGAACACCAGUGGCGAAGGCGACUCUUUGGUCUGUAACUGACGCUGAGGCGCGAAAGCGUGGGGAGCAAACAGGAUUAGAUACCCUGGUAGU